GACGAACGCUGGCGGCGUGCCUAAUACAUGCAAGUAGAACGCUGAAGAGAGGAGCUUGCUCUUCUUGGAUGAGUUGCGAACGGGUGAGUAACGCGUAGGUAACCUGCCUUGUAGCGGGGGAUAACUAUUGGAAACGAUAGCUAAUACCGCAUAACAAUGGAUGACACAUGUCAUUUAUUUGAAAGGGGCAAUUGCUCCACUACAAGAUGGACCUGCGUUGUAUUAGCUAGUAGGUGAGGUAAUGGCUCACCUAGGCGACGAUACAUAGCCGACCUGAGAGGGUGAUCGGCAACACUGGGACUGAGACACGGCCCAGACUCCUACGGGAGGCAGCAGGAGGGAAUCUUCGGCAAUAGGGGCAACCCUGACCGAGCAACGCCGCGUGAGUGAAGAAGGUUUUCGGAUCGUAAAGCUCUGUUGUAAGUCAAGAACGGGUGUGAGAGUGGAAAGUUCACACUGUGACGGUAGCUUACCAGAAAGGGACGGCUAACUACGUG
This 497-nucleotide ribosomal RNA is filed under the name uncultured bacterium. RNAcentral describes it as "partial 16S ribosomal RNA". It matches the Rfam family "Bacterial small subunit ribosomal RNA", at positions 28 to 507 of the family's 1533-position model. The record is from RNAcentral.